RNAcentral lists this microRNA precursor (91 nucleotides) under Nannospalax galili (Upper Galilee mountains blind mole rat). Its description in RNAcentral is "miRNA (ENSNGAG00000006597.1)". The record is from RNAcentral. Lineage: Eukaryota; Metazoa; Chordata; Mammalia; Rodentia; Spalacidae.
CCUAAUAGACCUAAUCUGAGCAAAAUGACUCACAUACCGGUUAGUGUAGCUUAAAACAAAGCAGAGCACUGAAAAUGCUUAGAUGGGUUCU